This 251-nucleotide long non-coding RNA is filed under the name Mytilus galloprovincialis (Mediterranean mussel). Lineage: Eukaryota; Metazoa; Mollusca; Bivalvia; Mytilida; Mytilidae. The record is from RNAcentral.
CGGGACGAUAACAAGUUAACAAUAUGUAAAUCUUGUAUUAGAGUCCAUCCGUAAAGAUGGUCGGCGGAAAUUUGGACUGCCACUAGAAAAUGAUGAUGUAGUGGAUAGGGACAUAUGUUUUGCUUGGCAACGGGCCACCUAUAUACCCCUUAAUGAGUUGUUGCAAGGGUUCGUAACAUGCAAAAAGCGUGACACUAUCGUGUAAACUGAAACUGUAAAUCGGUCAUUUGUUCAAUAUCAUUUUCUUAGAC